This 1268-nucleotide long non-coding RNA is filed under the name Elaeis guineensis (African oil palm). Its description in RNAcentral is "long non-coding RNA (EGUI_LNC000985)". Lineage: Eukaryota; Viridiplantae; Streptophyta; Magnoliopsida; Arecales; Arecaceae. The record is from RNAcentral.
GUACAAAUGCAGCCUAGAGACAGCUUCAUUAAUUUUACGAUAAUACAUAAGCAAGUAUUUUAUUUACUAAUCUAUCAAGCAUAUACGGUAUGCAUAUAAUACCGUCACAACUUAUACCACGCGAACACCAUUACAGUUUACACAACCAGAACAAACACUGAAUAUCACAUGCACUGGCACGUGACUUCUUUAUUCUCGUACAAGAGCUAGCUAGCGAAGGUUCAUCGACGCGGUGGACCCUCUCAAUGGUGGCCUGGUAGCUUCUCCUUGAUCUUUUCCAUCAUCCCCUUCUUCUCAUGCUGGCCUUCAUCAGUCUGGCCGUGCUCCUCACUCUUGUGCCCGCCGCCCGGAAGCUUCUCCUUUAUCUUCUCCUUCAGUCCCUUCUUCCUCCGCCCGCCCUGCCCGUCAUCCUCCGACUGCAUGCCAAGAUAUACAAAUAACCCGUUCGAUCACGGAGGGGGAAGAAAAUAAAGAAUAUAGACGGUAAAAGAGGAACGAAGAUCCGGGUGCAUAAGACCGACAACAUCACUAUCCCAAAAUUUUGGAAUAUAUUGGAGCUCGGCAGACUGGGAUUGGGUUAAUAUUCACAGGGAAAAUUGCUACCGGAGGUACAAACGAGGCACAAGUUUGGUAUGCCACUAUUUGACCCAAUUUGUCCCAACGGUGUGGCACGAUUUAAAUCCACUAUUUAAUCCUACCUGGAAAACAGAACGGACUUUGAGAUUUGUUCCAUGCCCUAUCAUACAUAGUUUUUCCAAAUAUUGCCCAGUACAAGAUGGGCUAGCACAAAUCCCAAAGCCAGCCCCUGUUCAUCGCAAGGCGGUUGCCGUGUUUCUACUUUGCAGGGAACCUAAACGGAAUCCGUAAAACACAUCAACUUCCAUGAACCGCAUGGCCACGUAGUAUCAGCUUAAAUGAACGCUACCUGUAGACCACUGUUGUUAAAACGUUAGUUAAGCUUACCGAGCUGCUGGAGCUGGAGCUGCCGGAGCGGUGGUGGCGUCCACCGGGGUGCUCCUCCUUCCCUGGGUGCACCUGCUGCUGCCUGCCACCUUCUCCAUGCAGUACCCCUUCAUGCGGAGUGGUGGUGGUGCCGUAAGUCCCGCCGGUGACCGCACCACCGUGACCUUGGUGCUCCGGGAUCGGGUUGCCGUACUCGUCCGUCCGUCGGAUCGGAUCCGCCAUCUUUCUUUCUCUCUUAUAUAUCCGACCGCUCAAACUAACAACGUCACCUCUUUAUAUCUUUUUUGGAAGCCGAAGAUCUGGGC